UGGGGAAUAUUGCGCAAUGGGCGAAAGCCUGACGCAGCGACGCCGCGUGAGGGAUGAAGGUUUUCGGAUCGUAAACCUCUGUCAGAAGGGAAGAAACCGCACUGUGCUAAUCAGCAGUGCCUUGACGGUACCUUCAAAGGAAGCACCGGCUAACUCCGUGCCAGCAGCCGCGGUAAUACGGAGGGUGCAAGCGUUAAUCGGAAUUACUGGGCGUAAAGCGCACGUAGGCUGCUUUGUAAGUCAGGGGUGAAAUCCCACGGCUCAACCGUGGAACUGACUUUGAUACUGGUUAGCUUGAAUCCGGGAGAGGGUGGCGGAAUUCCAGGUGUAGGAGUGAAAUCCGUAGAUAUCUGGAGGAACAUCAGUGGCGAAGGCGGCCACCUGGACCGGUAUUGACGCUGAGGUGCGAAAGCGUGGGGAGCAAACAGG
RNAcentral lists this ribosomal RNA (429 nucleotides) under Fusobacteriota bacterium. RNAcentral's name for it is "Fusobacteria bacterium partial 16S ribosomal RNA". It matches the Rfam family "Bacterial small subunit ribosomal RNA", at positions 355 to 776 of the family's 1533-position model. Lineage: Bacteria; Fusobacteriati; Fusobacteriota. The record is from RNAcentral.